AUUGAACGCUGGCGGCGUGCCUAACACAUGCAAGUCGAGCGGUAACAGGUGUAGCAAUACAUGCUGACGAGCGGCGGACGGGUGAGUAACGCUUGGGAAUCUGCCUAUUAGUGGGGGACAACCCGGGGAAACUCGGGCUAAUACCGCAUACGCUCUACGGAGGAAAGCCGGGGACCGCAAGGCCUGGCGCUAAUAGAUGAGCCCAAGUCGGAUUAGCUAGUUGGUAGGGCAACGGCCUACCAAGGCGACAAUCCGUAGCUGGUCUGAGAGGACGACCAGCCACACCGGAACUGAGACACGGUCCGGACUCCUACGGGAGGCAGCAGUGGGGAAUAUUGGACAAUGGGGGCAACCCUGAUCCAGCGACGCCGCGUGGGUGAAGAAGGCCUGCGGGUUGUAAAGCCCUUUCGGUGGGGAAGAAAAGUCUCGACCUAAUACGUCGGGACCUUGACGUAACCCACUAAAGAAGCACCGGCUAACUCUGUGCCAGCAGCCGCCGUAAG
RNAcentral lists this ribosomal RNA (503 nucleotides) under uncultured bacterium. Its description in RNAcentral is "bacterial SSU rRNA". It matches the Rfam family "Bacterial small subunit ribosomal RNA", at positions 29 to 524 of the family's 1533-position model. The record is from RNAcentral.